ACUAGAGUAGCACUCGCAUAUCAAUAAGCGGAGGAAAAGAAACUAACAAGGAUUCCCCUAGUAACGGCGAGUGAAGCGGGAAGAGCUCAAAUUUGAAAUCUUAAAGGGUUUCCCUUUACGAAUUGUAGUUUAAAGAAGUGUUUUCUGUUGAGGUUUUGGUAAAAGUUCUUUGGAAUAGGACAUCAUAGAGGGUGAGAAUCCCGUAUUUGACCUUUACUUCCAACUUUGUGAUACACUUUCAAAGAGUCGGAUUGUUUGGGAAUGCAGUCCAAAAUGGGUGGUAAAUUUCAUCUAAAGCUAAAUAUUGGCGAGAGACCGAUAGCGAACAAAUACCGUGAGGGAAAGAUGAAAAGAACUUUGAAAAGAGAGUUAAACAGUACGUGAAAUUGUCAAAGGGGAAGCGUUUGACACCAGUGUUGUUUUUCUGAAAAUCAAUUAAAGAACUGUUUAUGCUAAGCUGUUUAGACUUUAUCAGCUAUCUGUUUAGUUUUGAGCUUUUCUUUAAUGCACUUUUCAGUUAACAAGUCAACAUCAAUUUCUUUUGCUGUAAAAAAGCUUGAGGAAGGUGGCUUGAGAUUCGUCUUAAGUGUUUAUAGCCUCUUGCCUAUGCAGUCGGAGAGAUUGAGGUCUGCAGCGUAGAUCCUUCGGGGCUAAAUGCAUUUGUGCUAAGUUAUAGCAUUUUAUAGACAACUUGUUGACUAUGAUUUGUCUUGUAGCUUACUCGCUUAUGUUAUUUUACCUACGCUUAGGAUGUUGAGCGCAUGUCUCUCUCU
Molecule: ribosomal RNA, 773 nt
Filed under: uncultured Neocallimastigales
Lineage: Eukaryota; Fungi; Neocallimastigomycota; Neocallimastigomycetes; Neocallimastigales
Description: partial large subunit ribosomal RNA
Rfam family: Eukaryotic large subunit ribosomal RNA
Source: RNAcentral